Molecule: ribosomal RNA, 253 nt
Filed under: uncultured bacterium
Lineage: Bacteria
Description: partial 16S ribosomal RNA
Rfam family: Bacterial small subunit ribosomal RNA
Source: RNAcentral
UACGUAGGGUGCGAGCGUUGUCCGGAAUUACUGGGCGUAAAGUGUGCGCAGGCGGCCGCGCAAGUCGAGUGUGAAAGCCCCGGGCUUAACUUGGGAAUUGCGCUCGAAACUACGUGGCUAGAGUGUGGCAGAGGGAGGUGGAAUUCCACGUGUAGCGGUGAAAUGCGUAGAGAUGUGGAGGAACACCGAUGGCGAAGGCAGCCUCCUGGGCCAACACUGACGCUCAUGCACGAAAGCGUGGGGAGCAAACAGG